RNAcentral lists this ribosomal RNA (1209 nucleotides) under human gut metagenome. Its description in RNAcentral is "bacterial LSU rRNA". It matches the Rfam family "Bacterial large subunit ribosomal RNA", at positions 1412 to 2641 of the family's 2925-position model. The record is from RNAcentral.
UAGUCGAUGGAUAACAGGUGGAGAUUCCUGUACUAUGUGUACCCAGAACUGUGGGGACGCAUGUGGAGAGCAUGAGCCGGGAAAGAGAAAACCGGUACAAGCGGGGUAGGAGUAAGGACAGCAAAUCUUCCUUACAAUCCGAAGACGUGAUGUGGACCGAACCAAAGUAGGGAAGCGUGUGAGCCAUGUGCCGAGAAAAGCCGCUAUUGUGCCAUAUGUGCCCGUACCGUAAACCGACACAGGUGGAUGAGGAGAGAAUCCUAAGGCCGGCGGAAGAAGCAUUGUCAAGGAACUCGGCAAAAUGGCCCCGUAACUUAGGGAUAAGGGGUGCCUGGGAAACCAGGCCGCAGAGAAUAGGCUCAAGCAACUGUUUAGCAAAAACACAGGUCUAUGCGAAACCGAAAGGUGAGGUAUAUGGGCUGACGCCUGCCCGGUGCUGGAAGGUUAAGAGGAGAGGUUAGCGCAAGCGAAGCUUUGAAUUUAAGCCCCAGUAAACGGCGGCCGUAACUAUAACGGUCCUAAGGUAGCGAAAUUCCUUGUCGGGUAAGUUCCGACCCGCACGAAAGGCGUAAUGAUUUGAGCGCUGUCUCGACAAUGCAUCCGGUGAAAUUGAAGUACCAGUGAAGAUGCUGGUUACCUGCGCCAGGACGGAAAGACCCCAUGGAGCUUUACUCCAGUCUGGUACUGGGACUCGGUAUUGCAUGUACAGGAUAGGUGGGAGGCUAGGAGAUGGUAACGCCAGUUGCCAUGGAGCCGCUGUUGGGAUACCACCCUUGCAGUAUUGGGUUUCUAACCAGCCGCCGUGACCCGGCGGUGGGACAAUGCCAGACGGGGAGUUUGACUGGGGCGGUCGCCUCCGAAAGGGUAUCGGAGGCGCCCAAAGGUUCCCUCAGAAUGGACGGAAACCAUUCGAAGAGUGCAAAGGCAGAAGGGAGCUUGACUGCGACACCGACGGGUGGAGCAGGUACGAAAGUAGGACUUAGUGAUCCGGUGGUAUAAAGUGGGAUUGCCAUCGCUCAACGGAUAAAAGCUACCCUGGGGAUAACAGGCUUAUCACUCCCAAGAGUUCACAUCGACGGAGUGGUUUGGCACCUCGAUGUCGGCUCAUCGCAUCCUGGGGCUGUAGUAGGUCCCAAGGGUUGGGCUGUUCGCCCAUUAAAGCGGUACGCGAGCUGGGUUCAGAACGUCGUGAGACAGUUCGGUCCCUAU